UAUAUAAAGAAAUCUUCGGAUGGAAAUAUAUAUUUCUUAGCGGCGGACGGGUGAGUAACGCGUGAGGAACCUGCCUUGUACUAGGGGAUAGCCUCGGGAAACCGGGAUUAAUACCCUAUGAUACUUGAGGAUCGCAUGAUUUUCAAGUCAAAGCGAUUAAGCGGUAUAAGAUGGACUCGCGUCCCAUUAGCUAGUUGGUGAGGUAAUAGCUCACCAAGGCGACGAUGGGUAGCCGGCCUGAGAGGGUGAACGGCCACACUGGAACUGAGACACGGUCCAGACUCCUACGGGAGGCAGCAGUGGGGAAUAUUGCACAAUGGAGGGAACUCUGAUGCAGCGACGCCGCGUGAGCGAUGAAGGUUUUCGGAUCGUAAAGCUCUGUCCUAAGGGACGAUAAUGACGGUACCUUAGGAGGAAGCCCCGGCUAACUACGUGCCAGCAGCCGCGGUAAUACGUAGGGGGCGAGCGUUGUCCGGAUUUAUUGGGCGUAAAGGGUGCGUAGGCGGCCUUGUAAGUCAGAUGUGAAAUCUCACGGCUUAACCGUGGUAAGCAUUUGAAACUGUGAGGCUUGAGUACAGGAGAGGAGAGUGGAAUUCCUAGUGUAGCGGUGAAAUGCGUAGAUAUUAGGAGGAAUACCAGUGGCGAAGGCGACUCUCUGGACUGUAACUGACGCUGAGGCACGAAAGCGUG
This 690-nucleotide ribosomal RNA is filed under the name bacterium enrichment culture. RNAcentral describes it as "bacterial SSU rRNA". It matches the Rfam family "Bacterial small subunit ribosomal RNA", at positions 63 to 763 of the family's 1533-position model. The record is from RNAcentral.